Molecule: ribosomal RNA, 478 nt
Filed under: uncultured bacterium
Lineage: Bacteria
Description: partial 16S ribosomal RNA
Rfam family: Bacterial small subunit ribosomal RNA
Source: RNAcentral
GAUGAACGCUAGCGGCAGGCCUAACACAUGCAAGUCGAGGGAGAAGCCCUUUCGGGGGCAGAAACCGGCGCACGGGUGCGUAACGCGUAUGCAACCUACCUUUCACAGGGGGAUAGCCCGAAGAAAUUUGGAUUAAUACCCCAUAAUAUUAUUGGAUGGCAUCAUUUGAUAAUUAAAACUGCGGUGGUGAAAGAUGGGCAUGCGUCCUAUUAGCUAGUUGGAGUGGUAACGGCACCCCAAGGCUACGAUAGGUAGGGGUCCUGAGAGGGAGAUCCCCCACACUGGUACUGAGACAGGGACCAGACUCCUACGGGAGGCAGCAGUGAGGAAUAUUGGUCAAUGGUCGGAAGACUGAACCAGCCAUGCCGCGUGCAGGAAGAAUGCCUUAUGGGUGGUAAACUGCUUUUAUAUGGGAAGAAUAAGGCGUACGUGUACGUUGAUGACGGUACCAUAUGAAUAAGCAUCGGCUAACUCCGUG